CCAGCUCCAAUAGCGUAUAUUAAAGUUGUUGCAGUUAAAAAGCUCGUAGUUGGAUCUAGGGACGCGCAUUUCAAGCGCCCGUGCCGUCGGGUCAAACCGGCGGCUGCGUUGGCGUUGCGGGCUCGGUCCGUCGGUGCCCCACAAAGGGCUAUCGGCGUGUCAACCGGCCCGCCCGUCCCCUCCUUCUGGAUUCCCGUUCCUGCUAUUGAGUUAGUGGGGACGUCACAGGGGGCUCAUCGUCGUCGUGCAAACGGCGGCGGUGGGUCCCUGGGGCCCAGAUCGUUUACCGUGAAAAAAUUAGAGUGUUCAAAGCAGGCAGAUCCAAUUUUCUGCCACCGAAUACAUUAGCAUGGGAUAAUGGAAUAGGACCCUGUCCUCCUAUUUUCAGUUGGUUUUGGCAGCGCGAGGACUAGGGUAAUGAUUAAUAGGGAUAGUUGGGGGCAUUAAUAUUUAAUUGUCAGAGGUGAAAUUCUUGGAUUUAUGAAAGAUUAACUUCUGCGAAAGCAUCUGCCAAGGAUGUUUUCAUUAAUCAAGAACGAAAGUUAGGGGAUCGAAGACGAUCAGAUACCGUCGUAGUCUUAACCAUAAACGAUGCCGACCAGCGAUUAGGAGACGUUGAAUACAAAACACCACCAUCGGUGCGGUCGUCCUUGGCGUCGGUCUUUCGGGGCCGGCGCGGGGACGGCUUAGCCCGGUGGCACCGGUGAAUGACUCCCCUAGCAGCUUGUGAGAAAUCAUAAGUCUUUGGGUUCCGGGGGGAGUAUGGUCGCAAGGCUGAAACUUAAAGGAAUUGACGGAAGGGCACCACCAGGAGUGGAGCCUGCGGCUUAAUUUGACUCAAC
RNAcentral lists this ribosomal RNA (842 nucleotides) under Acanthamoeba sp. AM19/T4. Its description in RNAcentral is "SSU rRNA". It matches the Rfam family "Eukaryotic small subunit ribosomal RNA", at positions 585 to 1204 of the family's 1831-position model. The record is from RNAcentral. Lineage: Eukaryota; Discosea; Longamoebia; Acanthamoebidae.